RNAcentral lists this ribosomal RNA (405 nucleotides) under uncultured bacterium. Its description in RNAcentral is "partial 16S ribosomal RNA". It matches the Rfam family "Bacterial small subunit ribosomal RNA", at positions 29 to 526 of the family's 1533-position model. The record is from RNAcentral.
AUUGAACGCUAGCGGGAUGCUUUACACAUGCAAGUCGAACGAGAGGCGGACGGGUGAGUAAUAUAUCGGAACGUGCCCAGUAGCGGGGGAUAACUACUCGAAAGCGUGGCUAAUAACGCAUUCUCUAGGAGCAGCCGAUAUCGGAUUAGCUAGUUGGUGGGGUAAAGGCUCACAAAGGCAAAGAUCCGGAGCAGGUUUGAGAGGACGACCGGCAACACUGGGACGGAGACACGGCCCAGAGUCCUACGGGAGGCAGCAGUGGGGAAUUUUGGACAAUGGGGGAAACCCUGAGCCAGCCAUCCCGCGGGUAUGAGAGGGCUUUGGGGUUGUAAAGUACUUUUGGCAGAGAAGCGGUAUCGGCAGAAUAAGCAACGGCUAACUACGUGCCAGCAGCCGCGGUAAUAC